GAAAAAAAUACACUCUGCAACGUUUUCACCACAAAAAAAUAAAUAAUACAACAGUUUACUGAAGGAGGACUAAAUCAAUAUCCUCAGCAUAUUGCUUUGACAAUGUCUGAUAGCAAGGAUAAAUGAAACACGGUAUUUUUUUUGUUUUUCACCCAAAUUCUUCAAGUUCUCAGUCAGUUGAAACUUGAAUAAUCUGCUUUCCAACGUUUCGCCCAUGAUAAAUACCAACCAAAGCUGAUGCAGCAUUUUCUAAACCCUCAGCAAUGUCUUCUACAAAAAGCAGUUUUUUCUCUCUUAUAAGCUGAAUAGCAAACUCGAGGUACUCUGGAACCUUGUGCCGGAAGUCAAACUCAGAAAAACCUUCCAUUCG
RNAcentral lists this unclassified non-coding RNA (370 nucleotides) under Hevea brasiliensis (rubber tree). The record is from RNAcentral. Lineage: Eukaryota; Viridiplantae; Streptophyta; Magnoliopsida; Malpighiales; Euphorbiaceae.